CCUACGGGCGGCAGCAGUGAGGAAUAUUGGUCAAUGGACGAGAGUCUGAACCAGCCAAGUAGCGUGAAGGAUGACUGCCCUAUGGGUUGUAAACUUCUUUUAUAUGGGAAUAAAAUGUUCCACGUGUGGGAUUUUGUAUGUACCAUAAGAAUAAGGAUCGGCUAACUCCGUGCCAGCAGCCGCGGUAAUACGGAGGAUCCGAGCGUUAUCCGGAUUUAUUGGGUUUAAAGGGAGCGUAGGUGGAUUGUUAAGUCAGUUGUGAAAGUUUGAGGCUCAACCGUAAAAUUGCAGUUGAAACUGGCAGUCUUGAGUACAGUAGAGGUGGGCGGAAUUCGUGGUGUAGCGGUGAAAUGCUUAGAUAUCACGAAGAACUCCGAUUGCGAAGGCAGUUCACUGGACUGCAACUGACACUGAGGCUCGAAAGUGUGGGUAUCAAACAGGAUUAGAUACCCUAGUAGUC
RNAcentral lists this ribosomal RNA (460 nucleotides) under uncultured bacterium. RNAcentral describes it as "partial 16S ribosomal RNA". It matches the Rfam family "Bacterial small subunit ribosomal RNA", at positions 338 to 795 of the family's 1533-position model. The record is from RNAcentral.